This 481-nucleotide ribosomal RNA is filed under the name Enterococcus durans. Its description in RNAcentral is "bacterial SSU rRNA". It matches the Rfam family "Bacterial small subunit ribosomal RNA", at positions 56 to 508 of the family's 1533-position model. Lineage: Bacteria; Bacillati; Bacillota; Bacilli; Lactobacillales; Enterococcaceae. The record is from RNAcentral.
UGCAAGUCGNACGCUUCUUUUUCCACCGGAGCUUGCUCCACCGGAAAAAGAAGAGUGGCGAACGGGUGAGUAACACGUGGGUAACCUGCCCAUCAGAAGGGGAUAACACUUGGAAACAGGUGCUAAUACCGUAUAACAAUCGAAACCGCAUGGUUUUGAUUUGAAAGGCGCUUUCGGGUGUCGCUGAUGGAUGGACCCGCGGUGCAUUAGCUAGUUGGUGAGGUAACGGCUCACCAAGGCCACGAUGCAUAGCCGACCUGAGAGGGUGAUCGGCCACAUUGGGACUGAGACACGGCCCAAACUCCUACGGGAGGCAGCAGUAGGGAAUCUUCGGCAAUGGACGAAAGUCUGACCGAGCAACGCCGCGUGAGUGAAGAAGGUUUUCGGAUCGUAAAACUCUGUUGUUAGAGAAGAACAAGGAUGAGAGUAACUGUUCAUCCCUUGACGGUAUCUAACCAGAAAGCCACGGCUAACUACGUGC